Hippocampus zosterae (dwarf seahorse) is the source of this 3014-nucleotide long non-coding RNA. RefSeq lists it as uncharacterized. The record is from RefSeq and is a predicted model, not a curated record. The transcript has 2 exons. NCBI's taxonomy places the organism in Eukaryota, Metazoa, Chordata, Actinopteri, Syngnathiformes, Syngnathidae.
CACCUUAUCUCUAAGGGAGAGCCCGGACACCAUGCGGAGAAAACUCAUUUCGGCCGCUUGUAUCCGGGAUCUCGUUCUUUCGGUCACGACCCAUAGCUCGUGACCAUAGAUGAGUGUUGGAACGUAGAUCGACCGGUAAAUUGAGAGCUUCGCCCUUUGGCUCAGCUCCUUCUUCACCACGACAGACCGAUACAACGUCCGCAUCACAGCAGACGCUGCACCGAUCCGCCUGUCGAUCUCUCGCUCCCUUAAAAUCUCCAGUGACCCGUAUAAAGGCUCCGGGAUCUGUGGAUGUUUAAUGAGAGAUUGAAAUUGUAAUCCACUUCAUUCAUAAUGUCAUUCACAUGUAAAAGAUAAGAUAAGAUAAGAAAACCUUUAUUAGUCUCGCAAUGGAUAAAUUCCCAAUUCACAGCAGCAUAGUUAUGAAAGGAAGAAGUAGAACAACAAAAUAUAGGAGCUGCUGGAAAGGCAGCCACUCUCGCGGCGCCAUUUUGAAGUCAAAAUAACAAAAAUAAUACAACACAACACAUAGGACACAGACUGUCGUGCAAUCUUCACCACUUUUCUGCAUACACUUUGUUGUCUGAAGCAGUUUGAGAUGAAAGAGGAGAGGAUCAAAGUGUCCUUUCACCAGUGAAUCAGAGACGUCAUGCUGAAAAUGUGCACACGUCUGCUACAAGCUAAGUUUUGAAAGCAAACGCGAAGGUGUAGCGUCCAUUGACGAAAAGAGAUUAGUUCACUUCUCCUGUCCCACGUAAUCCGCUUCAAACUCCAAGGCGCGACUCCCAGUUCCAAAUCCGCAUCGGCGCUCCGCGCUAACGCUCCUUUCUUCUCAUCGUCGGCUCCUCAAGACUUACAUCCAUCCAGUCGCAGACCGUUCAACAGCACCGAUCUCUCCGCUGAAUAAAGCGGGGCAGUGAAAAAUGCUGCCCAUAACAGGCGCAAGACACAAGCGCCGCGGGACUGUCCAGCAACGACAGUCAAAUGGCGCCGACAUUCCUCCCAGUCAAAAACAAUGCUGCACAGAGUCUCCUCCUUGAUGAAUGUCGUGGCCAAAAAAUGCUGAAAAAAGUCCACAUCAGGUCCACACAACAUAACAAACACAAAAACAACAAAAAAAGCAAGGCUCAUGAGAGCACUUGCUGACGGCUGCCUACUCGGGCUGGCGCCUGAGUCUUGUCUUUAAAAGGGGCUAAAGGUACCCGUUUUGUUUUGUUUGUUCACGGAUCAUACCGGUUUUGUCACGCUGCGCCCGAGGCGAUGAAAAAUCGCCUCGUGCACAACACAAAUAACGAGGUGGAUCCCAGGGAAAAGCAGACACGAAAAGAUCUUGUAUGAAACACAAAAGGUUUUAAUAACGAACAGAAAGAGCCCGACAGGGAAAACGGUAACAAAAAACGCUGGUCAAAUAAGGACCAGGAAAUAAGGGAGACAACCGAAAACGCUCGCGGAAAAACAAAGAGCGAGGAAGUACAGAGAUCAGUAAACUUAGAGCAAUAACAAUUUGGAUGCAACGCGAAUAACAAUAGUAGUGGCCGUAAGGCAAAAAGGCAGCGAGUAAUAUCGAACGAUGAAAUAGCGCGAGAGAACAACGGCACGGUAAGGAAUUCUCCGGCAGUGAGUAAACUGCCGGAGUCUCCUAAUAAAGGAAGCAUAAUCAUCCCGAAUGAACAACAGGUGUGCAGUCGGCGGGGAGAAAGCCCGCCCCCUGCAGGCAGGCACGGAACGUGACAGGUUUCAACAAAUACAGUCGACUGAGCCUGAAAAUGAAUCGCAGAAAUCUGUGACUAAUUGAUGCUCCCUUAUAAUUGCGAGGAAAAAAAAUUAUUAAAUGAGGGAUCAAGGGGAAAAAAGCAUGACUUGCAAGAGAGUGCCCCCCCCCCCCAACAACAAGUAAGCAAGGGUGACGGAACACACACACACACACACACACACACACGAUAGGAGUGUCAGUGAUAAUGGGCAUCUCGUCUCUGUAACACCUUUUAACGUGUAAAAUGUUAAACGUUAAAAAGCGCUUGCCUGCUGGGCCUGUCUGUGCAACACACCUACACAAUUCAUCAAGGACUGUCAUACUGUCUGUUAUAAUAGACGUACAGUCAAUAAAAUCUUAAGAUCUCUCAAAUUCUGAGGUGCUUGUAGACACGUGCAUCGAGCCAAACAAUGAAGACAUAUGGUCACCACAGGACAGGACGACCACAUAUUAAGGAAAACAGAGACACAAUUGGAGUCAAGCUUAUUUAUAUUUUGACUAUUUCUUCAUAUUAAUGAAAAAAUGGAGCAUUCAAAACCACAGUUCUUUCUGACCAGCAAAAAUAUUUUGGAAAAAGGGCGCCCAACUAAUUUCCAAGUUUAGGUAAAUCAAAAAUGACAAUGUUGUUUUUUAUGUUUCAAGGGGACCUUCAACAUAGUUGCUUGCUAUUAGCCAGGAACGCAUGUAAAAGCAAGGAGAUUUUUCAAGCAACCGAAAUAAAAAAUAUAAUAUUACCCACUUGCGGUUUUAUAAUUGGACCAGAACAUUACGAGCAUAGUGCUGUGCUAUUUUUACAUGCUGCUGAGAUGUGACAAAAUGUUCCUCAAAUGUUCAUUAAAAAGCGCCUGCCUGGUGGGCCUGUCUGUGCAACACACCAACACAAGCUGGGAUACAAGCCCCAUACAACACUUCCUACACAUGUGCUGCACUCAUCAAUCAUUUGAACACUAAUUCAUGUCGUUGAUCGUGCACCGUUCAUACUUGAACCGAAAUAAACUCAAUCUCACCUCAACCUCACUUGCAAGUGCAUCUACCGUAUUGGCCCGAAUAUGAGACGGUGUUUUUUGCAUUGAAAUAAGACUGAAAAAGUGGGGGCCGUCUUAUAUUUGGGGUCUAGACAUUAUACCCAUUCACAACGCUAGAUGGCGCCAGAUAUCAUUGAAGCGAAUGCUGAACUUGACUCCCCAGGCCAAAGUGAACCCCUGUCACGAAGAAUAAAAAUAAAAAUAGCGGUAGCCCGAAGAAGAAAAAUAAAAAAUAA